UACGUAGGGUCCGAGCGUUGUCCGGAAUUAUUGGGCGUAAAGAGCUCGUAGGCGGUCUGUCGCGUCGGCUGUGAAAACCCGGGGCUCAACCCCGGGCCUGCAGUCGAUACGGGCAGACUAGAGUUCGGUAGGGGAGACUGGAAUUCCUGGUGUAGCGGUGAAAUGCGCAGAUAUCAGGAGGAACACCGGUGGCGAAGGCGGGUCUCUGGGCCGAAACUGACGCUGAGGAGCGAAAGCGUGGGGAGCGAACAGG
This 253-nucleotide ribosomal RNA is filed under the name uncultured bacterium. Its description in RNAcentral is "partial 16S ribosomal RNA". It matches the Rfam family "Bacterial small subunit ribosomal RNA", at positions 524 to 776 of the family's 1533-position model. The record is from RNAcentral.